UCCCAGAACAGGUCUGAAUGGGCAAGGAAAGUACAGAUUCUUGCUUGACAGCCGCACCCCAUGUGCCCCUCUCCUUCUGACUCAUGGGCGGUCUGGGUGCCAGCCCAGGAGAACUGAGUCACGGCCGCCCUCCUCUGCCUUGUGGGCAGAGCCGCUCCCCGAGGGAGACCUCCCCCCCUGGGAGCCUGAGCGCACCCCGAUCAUCCCGCGGUGCCGGGCGGGCACGGGCAGUGGAGCCAAACGAAGGUCUGGAUGAUGGUCUGGUGUUGGUGACGCUGGUGUGCUCCAGCCAUUGUGAAACAGGGACAAUUAUUCCUGCUCCCACGAGAUUUGGGGGACAGUCCAAUGAGACAGCAUUCAGUUCACAACGUGGGUUUCGGGGGGACAGAGCGGUCAGUCUGUACCAGGCAUAAAGUCUAAAGAACUCAGGGCACCGCGCACGGGGAAUGACAGGUGAGAGGAGGACGCUGUCGUGCUAGGCCCGGUCCAGGCUGAGGCUGUGCUCCGUGGGAUCACGCACCACGUGGCAAGACCUCAGCUCCAUGAAUCGUGCGUUGUCCCCAUCCAGGAGCCACAGCAAACAUGAGCCUUCAGGAUGACAGUGUCAAGUGCAGACAAUGCAGGCUGGAUUCCCGAAUUAUGCAAACAAAGGUGAUCUGACCAUUUCAUAACAAGGUGUCGGUUCAACCAAUGCUUGGUAAUACCCCGACUCAGGUAAGUUUCCCUCUGCCGGCAACGCCUGCCCUCUUUAUAAGAAAAGCACUCUCAGGAGACAGCCGAUAAGAAAAACUGUCCAUGGUUCUUAAGCCAAGGUGAGCUGUGUCCUCAGGAGCUGCGCACCCCGGAAGCUCCCGCAGCUUCUCCCGGGAGGGCAGGCAGCAGAGGGCUGCCGCCCGAAUCUCUGCCCGUCAUUUUUGGGGCAACUUGCUGGAGCAGGGAUGGCGAAGUCCAGGCCGACCCCACAAACCGUCUUAACUACUCAAGUCAUUCCGAGAACAACAGCUGUGUCCAAAUGGGCUGUUUUGGACCCAAAGUGUAUCCGUACCUGCGAAUUUCAGGAGACUAUUUAAAAAUGCCCUUUCCUGUGUUGCCGGGAAGAAAUGACAGUCAUCACCCGAUUCCAGGUGAACCACACUGCGAUCACCCGCCUUGGCGCCAGGUCCCGGGCUAAGCUCCUUCCCGGUCUUAUUUCCAGUCCUAGCAGCACCUCAGCCCCAGUGUUCCAGGUGAGGAAACCAAAGCAGAAGGAGGUAAAGAGAACAAUCAAACAAACGUACAAAAA
This is a non-coding RNA of Vicugna pacos (alpaca), 1282 nucleotides long. NCBI's taxonomy places the organism in Eukaryota, Metazoa, Chordata, Mammalia, Artiodactyla, Camelidae. The record is from RefSeq and is a predicted model, not a curated record.